Molecule: long non-coding RNA, 689 nt
Filed under: Lupinus mutabilis
Lineage: Eukaryota; Viridiplantae; Streptophyta; Magnoliopsida; Fabales; Fabaceae
Description: partial ncRNA
Source: RNAcentral
UGUGGGAGAUGGUGAUAAUAGGCAUGAUGCUACUAAUGGUGUUCACAGUCAGAAUUUACAAGAGAGGAAGAAAUACGUGGCGGAUCAGGAUUCGAUGAACUUAGAGAAAUUUAACAAACCUGACACUUCUGAAACACGUGACGCCCGAAAUAAGGACCGGAAAGAAAUCAAGGAUCUAGGACAUAAUAUGGAGGAUGGAUGUGAAAGAAUUGUUGAGGUUGGAGAGGAAGUACCAGUAGAACCUUUGAGUGCUUCCAGUUUGGGAAUGUGUGGUGGUGUACAAUCACAAAAUGUUGCAUGUGAUAAAGGGGCUGAAGAAACUGUUGCAAAUCUUGCAGAGGAUAAGGGGAAGAUUAAAGAUCAAGGAAAACUGCCACGUGUUGAACAAAAGAUGUCUUCAACCAGUAGUUCUAUGAGUGAAGCUAAUGAUUCAGACUUUGAGGUCGUCUCAUUGAAGAAGGGCCGUGUCAAACGGAAGCUUCCAGAGACAGCAUAUCCUCAGAAGGUUGCUCCUGUCAAUAAAUCAUUAUUCAAGGAGCAUAGCACUGCAGAAAAAAAUGCAAGUAACAUAAGUGAAGAAGUGACAAGCUCCAGGACUUUAAGACAACCACAUACAUCACCUAACUAUGUGUGUAGCAGGAAUCUGUCUUUUCUGGCUGGAAGGCGUAAGCCAUUACGUUGGACAGUUG